GAUGAACGCUGGCGGCGUGCCUAAUACAUGCAAGUCGAGCGAACGGACGAGAAGCUUGCUUCUCUGAUGUUAGCGGCGGACGGGUGAGUAACACGUGGAUAACCUACCUAUAAGACUGGGAUAACUUCGGGAAACCGGAGCUAAUACCGGAUGAUAUUUUGAACCGCAUGGUUCAAAAGUGAAAGACGGUCUUGCUGUCACUUAUAGAUGGAUCCGCGCUGCAUUAGCUAGUUGGUAAGGUAACGGCUUACCAAGGCAACGAUGCAUAGCCGACCUGAGAGGGUGAUCGGCCACACUGGAACUGAGACACGGUCCAGACUCCUACGGGAGGCAGCAGUGGGGAAUCUUCCGCAAUGGGCGAAAGCCUGACGGAGCAACGCCGCGUGAGUGAUGAAGGCCUUCGGAUCGUAAAACUCUGUUAUUAGGGAAGAACAUAUGUGUAAGUAACUGUGCACAUCUUGACGGUACCUAAUCAGAAAGCCACGGCUAACUACGUG
This 497-nucleotide ribosomal RNA is filed under the name uncultured bacterium. Its description in RNAcentral is "partial 16S ribosomal RNA". It matches the Rfam family "Bacterial small subunit ribosomal RNA", at positions 28 to 507 of the family's 1533-position model. The record is from RNAcentral.